UACGUAGGUGGCAAGCGUUGUCCGGAAUUAUUGGGCGUAAAGCGCGCGCAGGUGGUUUCUUAAGUCUGAUGUGAAAGCCCACGGCUCAACCGUGGAGGGUCAUUGGAAACUGGGGAACUUGAGUGCAGGAGAGAAGAGUGGAAUUCCACGUGUAGCGGUGAAAUGCGUAGGGAUGUGGAGGAACACCAGUGGCGAAGGCGACUCUUUGGCCUGUAACUGACACUGAGGCGCGAAAGCGUGGGGAGCAAACAGG
Molecule: ribosomal RNA, 253 nt
Filed under: uncultured bacterium
Lineage: Bacteria
Description: partial 16S ribosomal RNA
Rfam family: Bacterial small subunit ribosomal RNA
Source: RNAcentral